Molecule: ribosomal RNA, 489 nt
Filed under: uncultured bacterium
Lineage: Bacteria
Description: partial 16S ribosomal RNA
Rfam family: Bacterial small subunit ribosomal RNA
Source: RNAcentral
AGUGAACGCUGGCGGUAGGCCUAACACAUGCAAGUCGAACGGCAGCACAGUAAGAGCUUGCUCUUACGGGUGGCGAGUGGCGGACGGGUGAGGAAUACAUCGGAAUCUACUUUUUCGUGGGGGAUAACGUAGGGAAACUUACGCUAAUACCGCAUACGACCUACGGGUGAAAGCAGGGGAUCUUCGGACCUUGCGCGAUUGAAUGAGCCGAUGUCGGAUUAGCUAGUUGGCGGGGUAAAGGCCCACCAAGGCGACGAUCCGUAGCUGGUCUGAGAGGAUGAUCAGCCACACUGGAACUGAGACACGGUCCAGACUCCUACGGGAGGCAGCAGUGGGGAAUAUGGGACAGUGGGCGCAAGCCUGAUCCAGCCAUACCGCGUGGGUGAAGAAGGCCUGCGGGUUGUAAAGCCCUUUUGUUGGGAAAGAAAAGCAGCAGGUUAAGACCCCGCUGUUCUGACGGUACCCAAAGAAGAAGCACCUGCUAACGUC